Sus scrofa (pig) is the source of this 3657-nucleotide RNA transcript. RefSeq lists it as uncharacterized. Lineage: Eukaryota; Metazoa; Chordata; Mammalia; Artiodactyla; Suidae. The record is from RefSeq and is a predicted model, not a curated record.
UCAAAUAACAAACUCACUCUGGCAGUUAUUACAUUAUCUAAAAAGAAAUAUCCUCUUCCAACUAAUUAAAUGAAUUACAUUCAAGUAGUCAAAUUUUUCUCCUUGAUUCACAAUUCAAACAAUAACUUUAAAAGGACUUAUUUAUAAUUAUCACCUCCAUCACUGAAACAUCCUACAAAAUUUUCCAGGAGAAAAAUUUUCAGCAUUGCUCUGGGAUACAGAUCUGGAAAAUCUUCAGAAUGAGGGUAACUGUCUCAGAUUGUGAGGGGAUAGGCCUGACUAGAGCCGUCCAAAUUGUGAUGAGUCAGGCUGGCCAGGUGGGAAGGCCCAUUUAUGAAAGACCUUAAAAGUCAGUAAAAUUAAACUGGAUCUAAUAAAAAUUGAUAGGGACCAUUGAUCUUUUUUUUGAGUGUAGGAGUGAUGCAGUGAAUAGAAAGUGGAAAUGUUGAAUUGUAGUGGGGAGGUCUGGGUACCCCUGGCCAGUGUCCUCAUGUUGGAUAUGCUCUGAGGAAUGUGGGAAUUCCAGAAGUCUUAGAAUAUAGUGAUGGGGAGAGGGGAGGGAAAACUCACUGGCCUCUGCCAGUGAGUAUGUUUCAAAUUACAGUACAAGCAGUAACAGGAUCAGGCCCAGGAACUUCAUCCAGUGGGGGCUGUGGAGCUGUAGAGUUUCCUGAAGGUAGGCUAGCAAUUGCCCUGUAUUUCCAGGUGAUCUUUCUUCAUUAGCUAGUGAGUGCAGGCGGGCUAAUGAGACAAAACAAGUCACCUGGACCCCUUCAACUCUUCUGAGAUUGGGAGGGAAACUUCAGUGCAGAAGCAUGUAUUUUCCAGGAUUUGAGGGAACUGUACUAGAUAUGGACCUUAAGGCCAACAAUUGAUCUAUGCUUUAGUGCCCCAAUCUGAGUGUGUGUGAGACACUCUGGGAAUGGAUUCUUUUCUCAGGAAAGGCUGGGAUUUCUGUAUACUAGAGCCUUCCUUACCCUAAGUGGGAACCAGGUUGACUUCCAACUCUUAGGUGUCUACGUUCUCAGUCAGUUGCCCCCCCGCCCCCCCGGAGGGGGGGCCUGCAGCUGUUGGGUAUUGGGUGUUGAGUGUCACAGAACUUAGUUUUUUUUGCAAGAGUCAAUGUAGCAUGAAAGUUUUUCCCCUGGGGUAGAUUUUGUAAUGGGGUGGGGAAGUAGACUGAGAAUUUCUUGCAAAUGCUUACUUCAGUAAACGGAGAACACUGUUACCAUACAUUUGUGGGAGGAUUUGAGCAUUAGACACUAAAUAAAAUGGGAAGUCAUUUGAUUAUGCUUAAAGUUGUCUUGAUUUAGUGUGCACUGAGGUUUUGAUAGGUGGCGUUGUCCAAGGUCACCAGAUUGUUUCUACCUAUGAAUUUCAUUCUCAAACAGAAAACCAUCAGCAAGCAGGGAUACUGGAGAUCUCUCUCAUGCUCUCUCUCUCCCUCCUUCUAUCUCCAUCUCUCUCUCGCCAUUCUGUUUAGACAAUAUUUGUGGAUGAAGAUACUUCAAUUGUCAUAUAAAUUAUUCCUCUUUGAAGCUCUAGUCUUUAGAAGCCUAUUAAAAAAACAGCAUGUGAUUCUUUAAAUGAUACUUGAAGUUAGUUUUAGUUAAAAAAAAAGUUUCAAUGAAACAGGGGUGUGUCUGAAUACAGUGCUGGUUCAAUGGUUUUCCACUGGCCAAGUUAUUACUUACUGACCCUUUUGAGCCCAAUGCCAACAGAAGUCCUGACUGGUGUCGCUGCUCCCGCCAAGAGAACAAGCCCAUGUUCACUUCUGAGGCAAGGCAAAGCCUUCUUCUUUGAUCAGAGAAUGGAGAGGGGGAAGCUUGGCUCUAGGGCACACACUUAACCCAAAGCCCAAAGGCUGAGCUGCCAUAUUGCGACCUCCUCAGCCGCAGGGUGUAAGGGUCAUGUAGGGGCCGAGUUCUUAUUGCGCAGGUGCAGGCAUAGGCGCAGGCGCAGCUGGGCUGCUCCUGGCUCUAGUUGAAGUGCCUGGCGGGUGAAGCGUCGCUACACGGGGCUGCCGCCAUGUUGUAUUGAGGUGUGGAGCCAGAGCUUCGGCCUGCGAUCCUGGGAGCUGAGGUCUAUGCAGCGGGUUCACUGGAGAAACUCUGGUCUGAAAUGCCAGGUGGAAGCCCUCUGCCCGAGGUACCUUGCGAAUGAGUGGAACUAGAGGAAGCACAAAGGAAAAAGAAAAGGAAAUCUCCAUCUGAGGGGGAAAGAAUGGACUUGUCCUGCUCUGCUACAAAAUUGUCUCAUGGAAAAUAGAGCUACUGACUGCAUAUCUCUGUUGUGGUCACCAUACAGUUGACUGAAUCUGCUGAGUAUCCAGUACCCCCCUAUACAUUCUAGAGGAAAAGGAAAACCUAGGCUCUUAGGAAGCUGAUGAUCAUCUGAGAGGCAAGUCGUAUACUUACCUUAUCAGUUAGAUCAAUUAAUGUAAAUUAGUGUGGAAUAGACUGAGCUACAGUUGGCUGACUUGCUGUGGGUCAUCAGACAGCAUCUGAUUAUUUCCUAAUAUGUGCUCAACAAUGAGUCAGGUGAGAUGGGAGCUAUGAAAGGAGAGUACAACCCAUCUCUGUCCCAAAGAAAUCUUAUGUCAGCUCAGUACAUAAGAUUUACUUAGAUAAAAUAACAAGUAGCAAGAAACAGUGUUCAAAUGAAUGGUAUUGCUCUCCUAUGCCUGAGAAUAUAAAAUUUCAGAAAAUUAAGAGAACCGCAUAAGCCAGUUUAGUUGUAGGAGGCUUUGUGAAAAGUAGGUCUUAGGAUACUCAUUAAUUCAUUUAUUAUUCAUGCAUUUUCCAUCCACACAACAAAUAUUACAAGCUGUAUACGAUGUUCCAAGUUCAGAUAAAGUAAUGAAGGAGCCAGGCAUGGAUUCCCAUCCUUAUGAAGCUUAAAGUCUAAUGUGAGACAGAUGUUGGUCAUAUAAUUGCACAGAUAUUAAGUUAUAAACUGUGGUAAGUGCCUUGAAAGAAUAUAGGAGGAGUAGUUUGGAGGAACAGGCAGUCAGAGUGAUAGUUGCUCACAUAUCAAAAGGAUGAGUAAGAGGAUCAGCCAAUGGAAGUAGGGAGUAGUCUAGGUAGAGGGCACAUAUGUGCAGAGACUCAAGGGGGAGAAGGCACUGCCCAUCUAUAGAAAGGCAGUAAGGCAGUGUAACUGGUAUACAGUAGGAGGGAAAAUAGCAUCCAGUGUGUUGAAAAGAUAAUUCUUGUUUCUGACAUUUCUAGGGUCCUGGAUAUUUUUAAAUAUUUGUUGAGAGCUAUGCAUCCUCUCUCCAGAAAUAUGUUCAUACAUUCUCAGUUCUGUAAGUUCACAGAUUUCUGGAAGCCUGCUCACGAACUUGAGAGUAAGAACUGUCUUAGGGAUAGAUGUGAUUAGAAUUGGCUCUCCAGAGGAAAAAAGAUUUUAUCACAAGGGAGAGGUUAGAAAUGAGCAGUGUUGGCAGAACUGUGGGAGGCAGUGGGUUCUCACUAUGCAGGGUUUUUAUCAGUCUUACUCCAGUUCCAUUGCAUGCUCUCAAUUCACAGAAGCCAAGGUGAGUAUGAGGGGAAGGGAUAUUUUUAUGCUUGUGUGCAUCCUGAAUUUGCUUGCAGUGUUAAUAGUGGCACUUGGCCUUGAGAUAAUGACUUAUCUCCUCCUCCUGGCUGGGCUCUC